Vicia faba (fava bean) is the source of this 279-nucleotide non-coding RNA. Lineage: Eukaryota; Viridiplantae; Streptophyta; Magnoliopsida; Fabales; Fabaceae. The record is from the annotation of a GenBank genome assembly.
AUGGAUUCAAACAGCAAGCAGAUUGAUGAAAAACUAGGAGUGAAGCCGGCACAAAAUGUCUCAUUCUGCCAAAGAAAGAACUCUGGGAAUGGGAGUUUUGUGUCUAAAUUAAGAGAUCACUUUCAUGAAUUUAUUCAUGCAUCUGUUGAUGAACACAGGAGAUGCUUAAGAAACACAAUCGAAAAGAUAUUUAAUGCAUCAAAGGUUUUUGGAGAAAACAGUGAAAGCAUAAACGAAGGUGAAAACUCAGUACAACUUCAUUCAUCUAUAAGGAAAUAG